CUCGGUCCCACGAAUGGCAGGCAGCGUCCAAAAUUCAACCCCGUAAAGCCAGCACCAGCCAAUAAAGCGCACGGAUGGAGGCCACGUGACAGCAGUGGGCCGGCCCUCCGGCUGAGCCCUGAUCUCUAUGGUUUCCGCGGCUCGCUAGAAGGAGUGCGGUCCACUGGAGGUCUCCCUACAUUCUUCCUCCAUUAUCUCACUGCCUCCGGUGGCUGCUGGGAUACCGGAGGACUCGGGUCCCGGCUCGACUCAGUCCUCCAGCCGCCCGGGGAAUACCUCUAGUUCUUCCCGGCCGCCGCCGCCUCCGCCCCGCCGCUUCCUCCUCCGCCUGCCGGCCUCCUUCGCCCCGCCCCGUCCGCGCAGCUCGUCCGGCCCGCCCGCAGGCCAGCUUCUCUCGGGAGCCUCCACCCAGGCGCAUGGCUCCAUGAAGCAAGAGGAGGAGGCAGAGCGCGAGAGAUCCCGUCCGCCCCAGCCGCGUCUGGGCCAGGAGAAAAGCAAAACCAUAUUCCUGCUGCUGUCAGUUUUGAUGCACUGAGAAAACUUCAGAGACCUAAGCUUUUUCCAGAGAAGAGAAGCUUUACUGGUGUUCCAGCCCUAAGGCUCAUAUGACAUUAACAGACAAGACACUUUUCAGAAAGACAGAUGGAGUCUCUCUGUCACCCAGACUGGAAUGCAGUGGCAUGAUCUUGGUUCACUGAAACCUCUGCCUUUCUGGUUCAAGCAAUUCUCAUGUUUCAGCCUCCCAGGCAACGUGUUGGACCUUCCGGAGCUUCUCAGAAGACAGAGGGUUUUCUUUUGAGGCUGUUGUACAGUGGCCUGAUUAUAGCUCACUGUAGCCUCGAAAUUCUGGGCCGAAAUGAUCCGCCUGCCUCAGCCUCCAAAGUAGCUGAGACUACAGACAAAUCAACUCAAUCAAAGAAACCAACUCAAAGAAAGAUGGGUCUACAUACAACAAAACUGAACAAAAUCUGCAAGAAGAGUGAUUCAUACAUGGGCUAUUGAGGCAACAUGAGAUGGACAUUAAUCGACUAAGUAAAAAACAGAUUUCUUGAAGAAUUAAUAAAGAACUUUUGUUUUGGAAGUUCUCUAUUGUUUAAAAUUAGCCAGAUGUGGUGGCCUGCACCUACAGUCCCAGCUACUCAGGAGGCUGAGGUGGAAGGAUCACUUGAG
RNAcentral lists this long non-coding RNA (1170 nucleotides) under Homo sapiens (human). Its description in RNAcentral is "PREDICTED lncRNA (TCONS_00032551)". Lineage: Eukaryota; Metazoa; Chordata; Mammalia; Primates; Hominidae. The record is from RNAcentral.